UAUUACAGGACAUACCAGAAGCAAUGCA
This 28-nucleotide small RNA is filed under the name Bombyx mori (domestic silkworm). RNAcentral's name for it is "ovarian small RNA-24085". The record is from RNAcentral. Lineage: Eukaryota; Metazoa; Arthropoda; Insecta; Lepidoptera; Bombycidae.